GUGCUUGUUGCUUCAGCAGCACAUAUACUAAAACUGGAAUGAUACAGAGAGGACUAGCAUGGCCUCUGCACAAGGAUGGCAUGCAAAUUCGUGAAGUGUUCCAUAUUUUU
Phocoena sinus (vaquita) is the source of this 110-nucleotide small nuclear RNA. Lineage: Eukaryota; Metazoa; Chordata; Mammalia; Artiodactyla; Phocoenidae. The record is from Ensembl.